CCCCGCCCCCCGGCCCCAACAGAAGCCCUGAUUCACAUAUUUAGAGAAGAAAUAAUCUCAAUCCUACACCAACUCUCCCAGAACAUGAAGGAGGAGGGAUACUUCCCAACUCAUUUUAAUUUAUAUUUGACUUACCCUGAUGCUAAAGCCAGUCUAAGACAUUACAAGAGCCUGCACAUGAUGGAUCAGCUGGCCCCACCCAGAUCAAUGAACUGGCUCAUCUGAUCUCGUGCCCCUCCUCCCCAACCCAGUAACUGACUGCGCAUUGCAUUCUGGUGGAACAACUGAUGCCACCCAGACUUGUGACCCCCACCCAGGAACUGACAGAGGCACAGAGACAGUUUUGAUAACCCUGUGGUUUCAUCCCUGACCAAACCAAUCAGUAUUUCCCAUUCCCUAGCUCCCUGCCUGCCAAACUAUCCUUAAAACCCUAGCCUCCGCAUUCUCUGGGAGGCAGAUUUGAGAAUUGUCUCAUCUUCUCGCUUGGCUGGCCUUGCAAUUAAAC
This is a long non-coding RNA of Homo sapiens (human), 505 nucleotides long. RefSeq lists it as uncharacterized. NCBI's taxonomy places the organism in Eukaryota, Metazoa, Chordata, Mammalia, Primates, Hominidae. The record is from RefSeq and is a predicted model, not a curated record. The transcript has 3 exons.